This 936-nucleotide ribosomal RNA is filed under the name Salmonella enterica. RNAcentral's name for it is "partial 23S ribosomal RNA". It matches the Rfam family "Bacterial large subunit ribosomal RNA", at positions 192 to 1165 of the family's 2925-position model. Lineage: Bacteria; Pseudomonadati; Pseudomonadota; Gammaproteobacteria; Enterobacterales; Enterobacteriaceae. The record is from RNAcentral.
ACUGAAACAUCUAAGUACCCCGAGGAAAAGAAAUCAACCGAGAUUCCCCCAGUAGCGGCGAGCGAACGGGGAGGAGCCCAGAGCCUGAAUCAGCAUGUGUGUUAGUGGAAGCGUCUGGAAAGGCGCGCGAUACAGGGUGACAGCCCCGUACACAAAAGCGCAUGUGCUGUGAGCUCGAUGAGUAGGGCGGGACACGUGGUAUCCUGUCUGAAUAUGGGGGGACCAUCCUCCAAGGCUAAAUACUCCUGACUGACCGAUAGUGAACCAGUACCGUGAGGGAAAGGCGAAAAGAACCCCGGCGAGGGGAGUGAAAAAGAACCUGAAACCGUGUACGUACAAGCAGUGGGAGCACAGGUUUACCUGUGUGACUGCGUACCUUUUGUAUAAUGGGUCAGCGACUUAUAUUCUGUAGCAAGGUUAACCGUAUAGGGGAGCCGAAGGGAAACCGAGUCUUAACCGGGCGUUAAGUUGCAGGGUAUAGACCCGAAACCCGGUGAUCUAGCCAUGGGCAGGUUGAAGGUUGGGUAACACUAACUGGAGGACCGAACCGACUAAUGUUGAAAAAUUAGCGGAUGACCUGUGGCUGGGGGUGAAAGGCCAAUCAAACCGGGAGAUAGCUGGUUCUCCCCGAAAGCUAUUUAGGUAGCGCCUCGUGAAUUCAUCUCCGGGGGUAGAGCACUGUUUCGGCUAGGGGGCCAUCCCGGCUUACCAACCCGAUGCAAACUGCGAAUACCGGAGAAUGUUAUCACGGGAGACACACGGCGGGUGCUAACGUCCGUCGUGAAGAGGGAAACAACCCAGACCGCCAGCUAAGGUCCCAAAGUCAUGGUUAAGUGGGAAACGAUGUGGGAAGGCCCAGACAGCCAGGAUGUUGGCUUAGAAGCAGCCAUCAUUUAAAGAAAGCGUAAUAGCUCACUGGUCGAGUCGGCCUGCGCG